UUCCUAUGAGGAGCGGCCUUACGCCCAGCGGCCCUAUGCACCACCCCCUUAUGCCGCGAUCCCCUCGACCCGCUAUCAGCGCUCGACAUUGGGAGGUCGCCCGAUGUUGCCACCCGAGCAGGUCGUGACCGUCCUGCGUUCGAGUGGUUACUCUCCGCUUGGCCGGGUCACCCAGCGCGGCUGGAUCUACACCAUCGCGGCGAUCGCGACGACGGCCGCCUGAUUAUCGAUGCCCGCACCGGCCAGAUCAUGCGGUUUAUUCCGGCCCAGGCCGUCGAUGAGCGGAUGAUGGCG
This 294-nucleotide unclassified non-coding RNA is filed under the name Hevea brasiliensis (rubber tree). The record is from RNAcentral. Lineage: Eukaryota; Viridiplantae; Streptophyta; Magnoliopsida; Malpighiales; Euphorbiaceae.